RNAcentral lists this ribosomal RNA (389 nucleotides) under Salmonella enterica subsp. houtenae. RNAcentral's name for it is "bacterial SSU rRNA". It matches the Rfam family "Bacterial small subunit ribosomal RNA", at positions 1126 to 1514 of the family's 1533-position model. Lineage: Bacteria; Pseudomonadati; Pseudomonadota; Gammaproteobacteria; Enterobacterales; Enterobacteriaceae. The record is from RNAcentral.
UCCGGCCGGGAACUCAAAGGAGACUGCCAGUGAUAAACUGGAGGAAGGUGGGGAUGACGUCAAGUCAUCAUGGCCCUUACGACCAGGGCUACACACGUGCUACAAUGGCGCAUACAAAGAGAAGCGACCUCGCGAGAGCAAGCGGACCUCAUAAAGUGCGUCGUAGUCCGGAUUGGAGUCUGCAACUCGACUCCAUGAAGUCGGAAUCGCUAGUAAUCGUGGAUCAGAAUGCCACGGUGAAUACGUUCCCGGGCCUUGUACACACCGCCCGUCACACCAUGGGAGUGGGUUGCAAAAGAAGUAGGUAGCUUAACCUUCGGGAGGGCGCUUACCACUUUGUGAUUCAUGACUGGGGUGAAGUCGUAACAAGGUAACCGUAGGGGAACCUG